UAAACCACAAAUAUAUGUAGACAUUUACUGCUUGAUUGGAUUCUGAAAGAUUAACUUAGCAUAUGAGCUGCAAGUUCAGUUAGAUGACUCAAGUGGUUAACAUUUGUCCCUGAUUUAUUGUUCUCCAGGGACAAAGGGAAUUGAAAUUUGACAGACAGGGUACACUGUACCCACUUAACUAGCAGAACAUUAAUUCCCAGAAGUCAGAACAUAUGCAUUACAAGCAAUACAUCUUUUCAUUUUGUUUUGUUUUUAAGCUGUAUACUGCUUAAAAUAGAACAAACGAUAUCUGAAUGCCAAAACAAUUCCUGUAGACUGAACUGGUGCACAGGAAAAGGAAAUGUGUCUGUCCAAGAAGCACUUAAAGGAAGGCUUAAUGCAUAUGAAUGCUUUCACAAUACUUCAUUUCUGUUUUGCCUGGAAGGUGGAGUGUUUGCUUUCCCAACUACUUUACAACCAAAUAAAAUACUGACUGGAAACCCCCUGCAUCCACUAUGAAGCCCCCAAGGAAAGACCUGAGGAACUAUUAUACAACAUUAAGAAUUCUUACAUCGACUUGGCUGGAAGACUGAACUUGGAAUAUUUUGAGUUAUUAUGAAAACAAUAACAUUCAAGAUGAGCAGGCUCUGACAGUGUAUUUGGCUUGCAUAACAUUAUGUUAUGAUGGAAGUGAAAUGAAUGGAUAAACAGCAAAUUUGGAUUUCUUCAGGAAAUGCUUGUGAUUUUUUCAUUAGAAUUUAGUAUACUACUACUUUUACUUAUAUGAUUUUAUAUAUGUAUAUUAAUACAAAAAGUCUUCUCUAUCCUGUUUUUAAUUCUAACUACUUAUUAAUAUAUUCAUCCUUUCCAGUAGAAUGUAAAAACAUCUCCUGUUGAUGCUAGAUGAUCCUACAUUAAAAAAAAUGCUUCAGCUAAGCAAUACAAAGACUUAGUGUUGUAAGGAACUUUUUACAUUUGGGUUUUCCUCUGUAUCAGCAACUAUUUAUCCAAUGUUUCCAUCUACGAGCCCUCAGUUAGCUUCUAAAUUUAAUAAUAAUAAUAAUAAUAAUAAUAAUAAUAAUAAUAAUAAUAAUAAUAAUAAUAAUAAAUCAGAUUUGUAUUUCUGUCA
This 1108-nucleotide long non-coding RNA is filed under the name Coturnix japonica (Japanese quail). RNAcentral's name for it is "lncRNA (ENSCJPG00005008379.1)". The record is from RNAcentral. Lineage: Eukaryota; Metazoa; Chordata; Aves; Galliformes; Phasianidae.